CUGUGCUGGGUAACCGCAGCUCUUGGCUCUGCUCUGGAGCCAUGACCCUUUUCCUUUCCCCUGCGCGAUUCCGUCCUUUCACGUUCGUUUCUUUACCCGCUGCGUUUCCUAAAAGAAAACCCGUGCGUUUCUAGCUGCCCGCCUCCGUUUGCACUGUGCAUCCCUGAGACACAGCCAGCGUGAAUCCAUUACGCCUCGAUCCCAUGACACGGGUUUAUGCGGAUACCCUCUGAUUUACAUUUUAAACACCGCAAAUGCACUGUCUGCUAGCAUGAGAAGAAAACCCAGCGUGUAACUUCAAACGACCUUCAAGGAAAUGCAAUUAACUGCUCUAAUUAUCAGUACACGCCUUGUCGAAAAAGACACAGGUGCUCGCUGCAACGGUUCCACCUGGUUAAGCAGAAUCGUCCUACCAGUGGACGGACUCUUUCUCCCUUAAUCUGGGACUUGCUACGAUGCCUCUACAUUUAGAAACCUCCUCACUUCCUCCAUCCUCCUCUCCUCUCCUCCCCCUUGGCUGAGGCAGGAGAGCGAUCGCUCACGGCUGCUAGGCUUUGUCACACGAACACACACACACACAGACCACAUUGCUCGCUGCUGCCUGGGAGAGAUGCAUCGUGUUUAUUUCCCGGUUCCCACAAAGCAGUCACCUUCUGACGCGUCUCUUCCCCUGCUCCCCCCACCUCCACUUCUCUUCCUGCAGACUGAAGGGAAGGACCGUAGGCCACAAUGAUAAUAGAACAUUUAGGUUAAUAGGGCGUGUUCUGAUCCGAUUUCCCCCUCCGCCCGCCCUCCUGUCCCUAACGACAUCGAUCUGCUACAUUUACUUCUGCCUUUAUCGGCCCCCGGGCAGCCCCGCCAGGGCUCUGAGUCACUGUCUGAGCUACCGGAUCUAAUACAGAUGCUGGAAUAACCGAGCCAGUAGCAACCACUAGCCUCCAGCCCGGUUACAAAGGAGCGAAUCUUUGUCCACAAGUGGUGCGCUUCAGACAGUUGAACGUGCAGUGUCAUAAUGGCUCCUAUUGCUGGUAGACAAGGGAGGUGCUCUCGACACAUGCAGCUAUGGCAGGAGAGAUGGGACCGAGAAGAUAAGGACAACCCGGGCUUCCUAACGGUCCACUAGGAGGCGCUGCAGACGCCCCGUUGCCUUUUGCAAGAGGAUGGAGUCAUUUGGGAUUCGGUGGCUUCUCAUCUCAUUACAGGGCAUUAGGAGAAACAGGCAAAUAUACAGCUAUUAAAAUUAAUCGCCUUGCGCCGUCAGAUGAACAUAAUAGAAAUUAUUUAUAGGCUGCCUACAAUGCGUUUAUCGUCAUGGAGGCUAGAGGUGCUGGGUGCGGGUGAACAGAGAAAAAUAUGCGCAGGCUACAAUAAAGGACAGCUGUACGGAUCUGCGCUAGAUCUUAAGGGAGCGCUGGAAAGUAAUGAGACCAGAGAGACUAACAGGAGCCCUUGUGGGAGAUACCUCAGCUGGGUUAGUGACAAAGGACUUAGCUUGUACUGGCUACAAGUCCAACUUUAAGCUUAGAGUCCAAACACUGCAGAUCAGCAAAGGUUGUGAGUAUGUGACCUCAACCGGUUAGGCGAAGAGUAAACUGCAGACAUUUUUCAGAUGAUUAUACGUAGAGCUACAUAAGCAAAUAUAAAACCUAGGCUUUGUGCUAAGUGGUCUCAAAUAUCCACUCUAGUGGAUUUCUCUAGCAGGCAAAGUCCAGGCUUGCUGGUGUGCAGCAAUGCAGAAACUAGGAUACUUUAAGCAUCUAAGAAACAAAUUACGUCUUAAAAUAGCUAGGAGAAAGGCCGCAGAAUUUGCUGACGUUCUAACGUCCUUUAUAAAUAACAGUGACUGUCACGGAGGGGAAGCAGGAGUGGUCGGAAGAAGAGAACUGGUUCAGAGGGACUUCGGCCUAUACAGACAGCCAGCUGCCCACACACAGUACACAAAGGUGAUGACCAGCUGAGAAAAAAAUGGACCCCCCCCCUUUCUGAACAGCCCCCCAGGAAUUAACACGGAAGUGAUUCGGAGCUCUGCACUAUUCUGCUCGGCCCUUACGCGGCUGUGCAGCGUGGAGACAGCCCGGAGAGCCGACACCGUCUGGAACUGCGGCGUCCAGGGCCGGGACCGGGCAGACUAACAGCAGCUCCCGCGCCUGGAGCUCCCUCCCUUCUCCCGCAGGCCCCAGCAGCGAUCCGGAGGGGCAGGAGGCGGAGCCAUAGCGCUAGGCACCGGCGCGCAGGGUAGCGAACUGCUCCUCAUUAACGUAGCCCCGGCGCUAACCGCGCUGCCUUUGCGCCCCUGGGAGCUCGGGGAGAGCUCGCGCCGGAUGCGCCCCCUGGGGCUGGGCGGCUCCACACCGCCCCCAGCGCAAGGCUGUGACUACGGAGCACAAGCGAGCUCGCGCCCUUCCGCGGCAGUAGCAAUGCCGAGCUUCACCCCGGCAUCCAAACCAAACACACACUCGCUAAGGUCCGUUAACAAGGCAGCGGCUGGAAGGUGCCGGGAAAAACACAGAGGCGUUUGCGAUGAGAGCGGCUCCGAGCGCGGUUUAACUACCCGGGGAACAGGGUUGUUGUCCCUCGAGCACUUGCAAUCGGCUGUGCCACUUAUCGGAGCACUGCGCGAGGCCUCCUCCCGAGCCGCACCCAGGGCCGGGGGAAACCCGGGAACCGUCGCUCGGGCCUGUGCUUGGAGCCACCGCGCGCUCCUCGGAGCCGGCUGCUCGGCCCGUUCGAGCUGCCUGCUGCCGGCCAGUCGGUGUGCGCUGGGGGGGGGGUCCAGGCCGUGCAAUGGGCGGCUCGCCCAGCGGGCUCCCUACCCCGCCAGAAGGACGUGUGCCAAGGGCGCUCUGCCCUCUCCCGCCUGCAAAGGUACAAGAUUCUUCACAGAGGGGUGUGGAGAGUAGCACGCAGCACCCCCGGGACCUGCUC
Molecule: long non-coding RNA, 2925 nt
Organism: Mauremys mutica (yellowpond turtle)
Lineage: Eukaryota; Metazoa; Chordata; Testudines; Geoemydidae
Exons: 3
Source: RefSeq, a predicted model, not a curated record